This 301-nucleotide ribosomal RNA is filed under the name uncultured bacterium. Its description in RNAcentral is "partial 16S ribosomal RNA". It matches the Rfam family "Bacterial small subunit ribosomal RNA", at positions 509 to 807 of the family's 1533-position model. The record is from RNAcentral.
CAGCAGCCGCGGGAAUACGAAGGGGGCUAGCGUUGCUCGGAAUGACUGGGCGUAAAGGGCGCGUAGGCGGUUCACGCAGUCAGAUGUGAAAUUCCUGGGCUCAACCUGGGGGCUGCAUUUGAUACGCGCGGACUAGAGUGGGGAAGAGGGUCGUGGAAUUCCCAGUGUAGAGGUGAAAUUCGUAGAUAUUGGGAAGAACACCGGUGGCGAAGGCGGCGACCUGGUCCUUGACUGACGCUGAGGCGCGAAAGCGUGGGGAGCAAACAGGAUUAGAUACCCCAGUAGUCCCUGUCUCUUAUAC